Molecule: ribosomal RNA, 301 nt
Filed under: uncultured bacterium
Lineage: Bacteria
Description: partial 16S ribosomal RNA
Rfam family: Bacterial small subunit ribosomal RNA
Source: RNAcentral
CAGUAGCCACGGGAAUACAGAGGGCGCAAGCGUUAAUCGGAUUUACUGGGCGUAAAGGGCGCGUAGGUGGUUAUGUAAGUGAGAUGUGAAAUCCCCGGGCUCAACCUGGGAACUGCAUCUUAUACUGCGUAGCUGGAGUGCAGUAGAGGGUAGUGGAAUUUCCGGUGUAGCGGUGAAAUGCGUAGAUAUCGGAAGGAACACCAGUGGCGAAGGCGGCUACCUGGACUGACACUGACACUGAGGCGCGAAAGCGUGGGGAGCAAACGGGAUUAGAUACCCCCGUAGUCCCUGUCUCUUAUAC